RNAcentral lists this ribosomal RNA (483 nucleotides) under uncultured bacterium. Its description in RNAcentral is "partial 16S ribosomal RNA". It matches the Rfam family "Bacterial small subunit ribosomal RNA", at positions 28 to 523 of the family's 1533-position model. The record is from RNAcentral.
GACGAACGCUGGCGGCGUGCUUAACACAUGCAAGUCGAACGAUGAAGCUGGAGCUUGCUCCAGUGGAUUAGUGGCGAACGGGUGAGUAACACGUUAGCAAUCUGCCCUUGACUCUGGGAUAACUGCGGGAAACUGUAGCUAAUACCGGAUACGACACCUUGGGGCAUCCCGGGGUGUGGAAAGAAUUUCGGUCAAGGAUGAGCUCGCGGCCUAUCAGCUUGUUGGUGAGGUAAAGGCUCACCAAGGAGACGACGGGUAGCCGGCCUGAGAGGGUGACCGGCCACACUGGAACUGAGACACGGUCCAGACUCCUACGGGAGGCAGCAGUGGGGAAUAUUGCACAAUGGGCGAAAGCCUGAUGCAGCAACGCCGCGUGAGGGAUGACGGCCUUCGGGUUGUAAACCUCUUUUAGCAGGGAAGAAGCGAAAGUGACGGUACCUGCAGAAAAAGCACCGGCUAACUACGUGCCAGCAGCCGCAGUAA